AUGGGCCGCCGCCGCCGCCAACCAUCCUCGCCGUCGCCGGCGGCCGAGCAUCCGCUGGAAGACGACGACCUACUGCGCGAGAUCCUCCUCCGUCUACCCCCACAGCCGCCCUACCUCCUGCGCGCCUCCCUCGUCGCCAAGCGCUGGCAACACAUCGCCACCGAACCCAAGUUUCUCCGCCGCUUCCGCAUCCACCACCGGAAGCCUCCCCUCCUUGGGGACUUCUCGUAUGAGUACGGAAGACUCUCGUUCAGAUCCACCCUGGACCUGCCCUACCGCAUCCCUCCCGGCCACUUCUCCCUACAACUACAAGUCCACGGCCGCGAUCCAUGGAGGUUGGUCGACUGCCGCCACGGAAGCGUGCUCCUCCUCAACAGGGAGAGGCGUCAGGUCAUUGUGUGGGACCCCGUGACUGGCGACCGCUCCCUCUUGUCGGUUCCGACGGAGUUUGAAGACAUGCAUACCGCGGCGGUGCUCUGCGCUGCCGGCGAGCAGGGCCACGCGCAUGGUGCCUGCCACUCGAGCCCUUUCAAAGUGGUCGUGGUGGACAGCUACGAGCAUGAUAAUGAAGCCGUCGCCUUCACAAGUGUUUACUGCUCAGAGACUGGCGUAUGGAGUGAUCUCCUCUCAACACCGCUUCCAUAUAGGGGUAUUACUGUUGUUAAUGCCGGCACACUUGUUGGUAACACCCUUCACUGGUUGCUUAAGAUGCAUAGCGGCAUAUCAAGAUGGGAAUGGGUCGACCCGGCCCUGGCCUUGGACCCGGCCCUGGUGGCCUCAGGGCCAACUUAA
RNAcentral lists this ribosomal RNA (792 nucleotides) under Triticum aestivum (bread wheat). Its description in RNAcentral is "partial small subunit ribosomal RNA". The record is from RNAcentral. Lineage: Eukaryota; Viridiplantae; Streptophyta; Magnoliopsida; Poales; Poaceae.